CCCUUAGAUGUUCUGGGCCGCACGCGCGCUACACUGACGAAUGCAACGAGCUUAUAACCUUGGCCGAAAGGUCUGGGUAAUCUCCAAAUUUCGUCGUGAUGGGGAUAGAUUAUUGCAAUUAUUAAUCUUCAACGAGGAAUGCCUAGUAAGCGCAAGUCAUCAGCUUGCGUUGAUUACGUCCCUGCCCUUUGUACACACCGCCCGUCGCACCUACCGAUUGAAUGGUCCGGUGAAGCCUCCGGAUUGGCGCGCACCUCGGUGCCGCCGAGAAGUUGGCUAAACCUUNCNAUUUAUNGGAAGGUGAANUCGUANCA
RNAcentral lists this ribosomal RNA (314 nucleotides) under uncultured eukaryote. RNAcentral's name for it is "partial 18S ribosomal RNA". It matches the Rfam family "Eukaryotic small subunit ribosomal RNA", at positions 1470 to 1796 of the family's 1831-position model. The record is from RNAcentral.